CCCUUAGAUGUCCUGGGCCGCACGCGCGCUACACUGAUGCAUUCAACGAGUUUUACCUUGGCCGAGAGGCCUGGGCAAUCUUUUAAACCUGCAUCGUGAUAGGGAUAGAUUAUUGCAAUUAUUAAUCUUGAACGAGGAAUUCCUAGUAAACGCAAAUCAUCAAUUUGCGUUGAUUACGUCCCUGCCCUUUGUACACACCGCCCGUCGCACCUACCGAUUGAAUGGUCCGGUGAAGCCUCGGGAUUGUGGCCAGUUCACUUUAUUGGGAGUUGGCUGUGAGAACUUGUCUAAACCUUAUCAUUUAGAGGAAGGUGAAGUCGUAACA
Molecule: ribosomal RNA, 325 nt
Filed under: uncultured eukaryote
Lineage: Eukaryota
Description: partial 18S ribosomal RNA
Rfam family: Eukaryotic small subunit ribosomal RNA
Source: RNAcentral